RNAcentral lists this ribosomal RNA (468 nucleotides) under uncultured bacterium. RNAcentral describes it as "partial 16S ribosomal RNA". It matches the Rfam family "Bacterial small subunit ribosomal RNA", at positions 28 to 507 of the family's 1533-position model. The record is from RNAcentral.
GACGAACGCUGGCGGCGUGCUUAACACAUGCAAGUCGAACGGAAAGGCCCUGCUUUUGUGGGGUGCUCGAGUGGCGAACGGGUGAGUAACACGUGAGUAACCUGCCCUUGACUUUGGGAUAACUUCAGGAAACUGGGGCUAAUACCGGAUAGGAGCUCCUGCUGCAUGGUGGGGGUUGGAAAGUUUCGGCGGUUGGGGAUGGACUCGCGGCUUAUCAGCUUGUUGGUGGGGUAGUGGCUUACCAAGGCUUUGACGGGUAGCCGGCCUGAGAGGGGGACCGGCCACAAUGGGACUGAGAUACGGCCCAGACUCCUACGGGAGGCAGCAGGGGGGAAUAUUGCACAAUGGGCGGAAGCCUGAUGCAGCAACGCCGCGUGCGGGAUGACGGCCUUCGGGUUGUAAACCGCUUUCGCCUGUGACGAAGCGUGAGUGACGGUAAUGGGUAAAGAAGCACCGGCUAACUACGUG